AAGUCGUAACAAGGUUUCCGUAGGUGAACCUGCGGAAGGAUCAUUAACAACAUAUCCUAACUAAAAAACCCUGUGAACUUUCAAUGUCCCGAACCUUUGAUCCGAGGACUUCAGCAAUCUCUGGUAAAUCAUAGUGAACAGCUUUUGAUUCAGAGACCUCUGAAAUAACCUAGCGUGGUUGGGUGAGGUAAGGCAAGUGACCUGGUACCCUCAAGACCAGUGUUCAAUGAUCUGUCAGUGUUCAUUGACUGGAAUCAAACGUUCUGUCAGUGUGCGUUUGGUUUGCUCCCGCUGUUACGUCAAACCCCAUGUUCCCCUCUAGUGAAAGCUAUUGGGUUAUAACUAAACGACUGUUAACAAUGGAUAUCUCGAUUCUC
Molecule: unclassified non-coding RNA, 377 nt
Filed under: fungal sp.
Lineage: Eukaryota; Fungi
Description: partial internal transcribed spacer region
Rfam family: Eukaryotic small subunit ribosomal RNA (bases 1-46)
Source: RNAcentral